RNAcentral lists this long non-coding RNA (906 nucleotides) under Physcomitrium patens. RNAcentral's name for it is "long non-coding RNA (PPAT_LNC012336)". Lineage: Eukaryota; Viridiplantae; Streptophyta; Bryopsida; Funariales; Funariaceae. The record is from RNAcentral.
GAAGCCAUGAUUUUGGUAACACUGACGCAUGGUUCGUUGUUGGUCGUUGUUUCAGGAUCACAAAGAGGCUCGAAGAUGGUGAAGGUCAUGUUCGAGGAAACGAUAUGUGGGUAGACCAUCACUAGUUUGCAGUGGAUCUCCACCAUUGCAUUCUCGGCUAUUAACAUGUCUAUGUUUCUUCACGUUGUUGAUCUAAUGCCAUUCUUACUUCUUUCCUUAGAAACAAUUCAACAAGACAUUUGAUGAGCAACGGUGAACAUGGUCUCUCUAUCACUCUAUCCCUCUCCAGCAAGCAGGGGCAAGUCCUGAGGACCGUCACAAGAUUUAUGAGAAAGUGUGUUGGUUGCGGAAUCUGACAAGCACCUUCUUUGCCCGAGUCUUGCAUCCAAGUGUAGUCUUACUGGUACAAUCUGCAAGCAAUACAAUCGUUCGAGUUCUAUUCAAUGUUGAUGUGAUCUUGGUCGUCGAAGGGAGCAACUGAAGCACGGCGGAAGAAUCAAACUCUGGGCUUUUGCUAUCUACGUCAGCCGCUGCUUGGAUUGCCAGUGCAUUGCAGAGAUUGGCUAUUUCGUCUGGUGUGCUCAUUUCUAGUGUUUCCAGAUCGGUUUAGUUGUUGUGCAUUGUUAUUAACCAUGAUCACAGGCGACAGGAAGGCAUUUUUUUUUUGUAAUAACUUCAUGUUCUAGUGUUCCGAACUGGACUCUUUCAAAAAUGGGGUCAGUGAAAGACAGUCCAGAAAUGUUGAGAGGUUAAGGAUACUGCAUUUUAAAGGGCACUAUAUAGGCCCGACCCUUGUCUUCAGUUGAACACUCAAAUCUUUCAGUGCCGUUUUCGGUACUGGGGACAUGAACCCGCUUCUAUGUUCACAAUCCUGUCCAGAAAUGGAAGAGAGAUAAAAUUCAGGGA